Molecule: ribosomal RNA, 429 nt
Filed under: Gemmatimonadota bacterium
Lineage: Bacteria; Pseudomonadati; Gemmatimonadota
Description: Gemmatimonadetes bacterium partial 16S ribosomal RNA
Rfam family: Bacterial small subunit ribosomal RNA
Source: RNAcentral
UAGGGAAUCUUCGGCAAUGGACGAAAGCCUGACCGAGCAACGCCGCGUGAGUGAAGAAGGUUUUCGGAUCGUAAAACUCUGUUGUUAGAGAAGAACAAGGACGUUAGUAACUGAACGUCCCCUGACGGUAUCUAACCAGAAAGCCACGGCUAACUACGUGCCAGCAGCCGCGGUAAUACGUAGGUGGCAAGCGUUGUUCGGAUUUAUUGGGCGUAAAGCGUGCGCAGGCGGUUUCUUAAGUCUGAUGUGAAAGCCCCCGGCUCAACCGGGGAGGGUCAUUGGAAACUGGGAGACUUGAGUGCAGAAGAGGGGGGUGGAAUUCCAUGUGUAGCGGUGAAAUGCGUAGAUAUAUGGAGGAACACCAGUGGCGAAGGCGGCUCUCUGGUCUGUAACUGACGCUGAGGCUCGAAAGCGUGGGGAGCAAACAGG